This 2906-nucleotide long non-coding RNA is filed under the name Sarcophilus harrisii (Tasmanian devil). Its description in RNAcentral is "lncRNA (ENSSHAG00000023561.1)". The record is from RNAcentral. Lineage: Eukaryota; Metazoa; Chordata; Mammalia; Dasyuromorphia; Dasyuridae.
CUUUGAUAAAUACUUUGUUCAAGUAUAGGUGAAAUGACUGUUGAGAAUAUUAUAGAGAUUUAUGCUUCAGAUAAGGGGCUGGAUUAGACCAGGAAUUCUUAAACUUUUUCCACUCAUGAUGCCUUUUCACCUGAGAAAUUUUUACAUGACCCUUGAUAUAUGGAUAUAUAUAAAAUAGGUAUACAAAUUAUUACUGAUAAUAAAUCAUAAUUUCAUAACCUCCACAUUGUUACAAGACUCCAUAUGGGGUUGUGAACCACAAUUUAAGAAGAUGGGACUAGUUGGCCUAAGAAGACCCUUCCAAUUUGAAGAUUCUGUGAUUUUAAUUGUAUUUUCCCCCUCUUAUUCUUUUAGAGAUCAGAAACAUCUGGCUUGCUUAUUCAUGACCUGUCAGAAAAACGUAUUGUUGGAGCUGAGAUGGUUUGGUAGAUGCAAGCUUGGAAACAAGGAGUUUCUCUGUUCAUGAACUCAAGAAAUUGGAGAAAUUGGGGGAAAUGGAGUUACCUUCCAGGAAAAUCUGCCAAAGAGAUGUGGGGAAAAAAUUCUGCAAAGAAGAAUUUUCGUUCACUGGAAUCCAGUUAGAAUCAACUGAGAGAAGAGAUGACAUACAACGAACAGGUAAGGCAAAAAGUAACUCUACAGUUUUUCACUUUGGAUUUACAAGCGACACCUACAUGUUCGUUCUUAACUUUGACUGGCCUUCCCUCACUUUUUUUUCUUGGAAUUCUGAAACCUGACUGGGACAAGAAGAGGUGGUGACUUAUAGAUAUUCAAGAGUUUUGAUUCACUUAUUUUGCUUUUAUCUUUAAAAAAUGGUUUGGCAAAACAGAAAAAAAAAGUUAAAUAAUUUUUCCCCCCUGUUCAAUAGAAGCAGAAAAUUGCCUCAUCUGAUGAUUUUUUUUUUGGUUUAUUGAUUACAUUUGGAGCUCACUUUGAUACCCUGAAUUAUAUCCCUUAUAUGUUCAAAGAGACAGGUCAUUUCUUCCUCUGUUCUUUUGAAGUGUGCUGUUGUUGUUUAGUUGUUUGAGUCAUCUUCGACUCUUUGUUACCCCAUUUGGGUUUGGUUCAGUUUUGGGUUUUUUGUAAAGAUACUGGAGUGCCUUGCUUUUCCUUUCUCUGAUCAUUUUACAGAUGUGGAAACUCAGGCAAACAGGAUUAAGUGAUCUUAGGGCCACACAGCUAGUUAGUGACUGUCUAAGACUGUAUUUGAACUCAAGUUUUUUAGACUCCAUAUCUAGUGUCCUAUCCACUCUACUACCUAAGUGCUUUUUGAAGCUUGCUACCUUGUGGCAAAAAAAAAAAAAAAAAAAAAAAAGAAAGAAAAGAAAAGAAAAGAAAAAAUUAGUUUUUAGAGCAGUGAUUCCAUUUCUUUUAAAAAAUACAGGUAAACUCAUUUCAGUGAAUACAAUUAUAAUGUCUAAUUUAAGGGAUUUGUUUGUUUAUUAGGUCCAGAUUUAUGAUUUCAUUAGUUACUCCCAUUAUAGAAACUGCAUCAAUCAAUGCAUAUAACUAAUUUCUCCUUAAUUUAAAGUCUUAGAAGCUGUUUCCAUGUUUCUGUUGAUGUUACUAACCAACAGUAUUUGCCAAAGUGAAUAUAGAUGUGAAGCUAAAUAGGAUAUAUAGUCCUGGAAAAGAACAUAUAACUUAAAAUUAUUUAACUAGCACCAUUAAGUCUAUAAGAAGUUAGAAGAUAGGGAUCUGUAACUAAGAUUUGAUAAACGUCCUAAAAGUAUAUUUAAGCACAAAAUAUUAUAGUAUAAUUAAUAGCCAUUGGCUGACCUACCAUGUAAAUAUGAAGUAAAAUACCUUUUAAGUGGAAUAGAUCACAUGUGUGUAUAAAUUACAUAUGUGGGAAAACAUUCAUGUGUGUGUAUGUCUAUGUAAAACUGUGGUAUGCAUGUUAAUUCAUGUAACUUAAACUCACUAAUCCAUAAAGUCACUUUAUUGAAGCACAGAUGAUAACAAUUCACCUUUAGGUUGUGCUUUAAAUUUUAUAAAGAAUUUCCCUCACAACUUGAGGUGUCUUCCAUCCCUAUAGAUUAUAGAUAAGAAAACUGAGGUUGAAAAAAAGACCAAAUGACUGGUCCAGGACAAUACAAAUAUCAAAAAAAAAUUUGAACCCAGAUAUAUUAAUCACAUAUUCACACCCCUUUUAGGAAUAUGUUUCAUGAUGAUAUUUGUUAGAAUUUACAUGUGGUGAUUUAAUUGAUUUUUUCCCACCCUGGAUCAUGAUUUUAUCAGUUGUAGGGCACUGCAGGUGAAGAAACACUCUUUGCUAGGGGCAACUUUUAACCAGUUUUCAAUCCAAAAAAAAAAACUUUACCAGAAGUGAUUAAGCCCAACGUCACACUAAGACUGACUCUAUCAACUAUGUGUGUUGCCUCUCACAAUUAUUUUGAAAUACUUCAAAAGUGUUAUAUACAUAGAUGACUGCAUAUAUGCAGAUAUUUAUGUAUAUAUAUAUAUAUGCAUAUAUAUAGCAUUCCAAAAUUAUUGUGUAUGUAUAUAAUUUAUAAUAUGUGUAUGCUAUAUAAUAUAGUGUAUACAAGUAUCUAUAUGUAUAUAUAUGUAUUUAUAUAAAUAUACAUUACACCACAUACAAGUGUUCCCUAUAUGAUAUAUAAUAUAUAGGAAUACUUAAUUAAUAUGUAUAUAUUCACUUUUCCCCAGUGAAGCAGGUUCAGGGAUGGAAGCAGAUACGAUGCCCUCUAGAGAGAGGGUAGAGGGGUAGGAGGGCAAAAAGGAGAUACCACCUUUCUAGAGACAGAACAGUUGAGCAGCUAACAUAAAUCAAAUACAGGGAGGAGAUUUGGACCAGACCAUCCCCAGUGGAGGCUCAGAGCCAAAAUGGACUGAAUUCCCUGAAGAGACAUCUGUUCAUCCAUAUGCAGCCCCUUCCUCAGGAG